GUACCUUGGAGAACGAUGUGAAACCCUGAGGCUUUUCCCGAGUAGGUUUAUGGUAGGCAGUCGCCGUAGGCCGAGAUUCCGUCGGUGAACGACAGUCUUGAUUGUAGUGAGGCGAAGACUCGACAUGUGGGACUUGAGAUGGAAUGCGCAGUUGCUCGUUCUGAUGUCGUUUCCUGGCAAACAUUUGUAUUAAACGCAAUUAAACAAAUAUUCAAGAUAUUCAAGAUUAUGCCAACAUCCUUUUCCUUCAAAAAAAAUAUAUCACGAUAUUUUACAUGCGGUUGAUCACGAAGGGCGUACCUUGACGUAUGAAAACUGAGAUUAUUCUUUUCCAUAUUCGCUUGAAUAAUUUCUAAGAGCUGUUGCCUUUGUAGGGCACCACUGCGUUUUCGCUGAUUAGUCGUGAGGAGAGGCGUCAAGGGGGAAACUGCGGGGGAGACAUCGCUGUCAUCGCUAAUAUCACCCUCGGAGCUAUUGGAAUAGGGUGAUGGUAAAUGAGGCACGGGCCCCACCCUUCUGCGUAAUUCCUCCUGUUUUAUUCGAUUCGUUCGCGCAUUUUCACCGUCAUCCUCACUGUGAGUAUCCACUUCUUUCUGUUCAGUCUAAAAUAAUGCAUGGAAAAAACAUAUUCUCAUUUACCAAAUAUAUAAUAUAAUUUAUUAUUAAUUUUAUUUUCAGUAUAUAAAAAAUUCUUUCGUCACUUCAAUUAUUUCUUAUCACGUAUUUUGUCACAUAAAACAUUUUAAAUUUACAAAUAAAUGUAUAUUUCAUGAAAAGAGCAAUUACAAAUGUUUUAUUCAAUUGUCAGAAUUCGAAAACAUCAUAAUAGCAACAAAAAGUCGAUCCACAAGAAUCCCUUCUACAUCUGUUCAACAUCAACAAGGGAGAAAAAAAAAAAAGAAAGAAAGAAAGAAAAAAAGUAGUAUAUAAAAAAAAGAAAAAAAAAACGAAUAAAAAAAAUAAGCCCUCUCUCCCGCAUGCGAUAAAUCUCGAAAGGCAGAAAUGAUAAAUCCGCCUCUAGCUUCUAGAAUUGUUGUCGGUUACGAAAGAGGAGACACGGCUCCAUAAAAAUCCAAGCCUCGAAUCCUCACCUCGUAAGGGCAUCAAUCUUACCUGGCAACGGUGUCGUGGCAUCCUUCUCCUUCUAGGAACUCUACGUAAACCGUGUGCGCCGGUAUGGGUCCCGGCAUUGUUGCAGGACGUGUGCUUCAAAUGGCAGCAGGACGAAUUUCCGGAAAAGCUCGUAGCAGCCGGCUUUGAGGACGCGUUCAAACAGCCGCCGCCGCUCGAUCGCGUCUGACUGCCUCUCUGAUCCGGCGACACAGUCAAUUUCACCUUAAUCGUCUUACUGCCGCACGGAGGUACCUGAAUAGAAGCGCCCAGGGUAUCGUAAAUGGUAGUAACCAGGCCGGCUAUGUCGUCUUUUGUUAUCUUCCCGUGGCCGUCGAAGUCGUACAGGGUGAACGAGAAUUCUUGCCGUCUUCGGUCGCCCUCCGCUACCGAAACGUCGCAUUCGAAUUCCUGCAAUGGCACCAAAUAUUAUAUUACGAUCUAUCAAGUUGGAUAGGGAGCAAGAUAACGAUUGAAAUCAAUAUUAUAUAGUCGGAGAAUAUAUAGUUUACCGUUUAGAAAUUUGUUAAAUUUAUUAAUUUGAAUAAUUUUUUAUUACAUUUUAGGUAGAAAUAAAUUAAAAGAUGAUACGGUAGAACGUUUAUAUGUAUGCCAAGUUCAUCCAACAUCUAUGCAUUGUUCGAUUUAAGGAAAUUCCCUUUAAAAACAGAUGGGAGAAUAAUAAAAAAAAAAACAUAGAAUUUGCUCGUUUCACUUUGUUCUGUUCCUGUUUUAACAAGCAAGGGAGUUAAUAAUACCUCGAAACUGAGUUGCUUCGUUGUACUAGCGCUUGGCUGCUCGUCAUUUCCGGUGGCCGGCGUAGGACUAGUAGAAGCGUCAACCGCGACCUGCGGUGCUUCUGUUUCUAACAAAAUUGGCUGGGAUUCCGGUGGUGAACCACUACGAGGCGCGGAAACACCGCCAAGAAGUUCUUCCGAGUCACUGCCUUCGGUAUUACCAACCACUGUAAUCAUUGUUGAGCAACAAUGAACGAAGAGUUUCAUUUACAAUUUAACUCAAAUUACGUUUCCACUAUUCUAAAGUAAAUUAUAGUACAAUCAAAAAUUCUCCAAGUAAAAUACAUAAAUUGUAGUCUUGUUCCACGUGCAUGAAGUUCUCAUCAAAGGAAAUGAAACUGUUAUCUACGGUCGAGCGACGGCAUCGCUCGUAAACAAAAGUCAGAAUCUCAAAGGUAUCAAAGUAACAUCCUCCAUGGGUAAAGCCUAUAUUUAUAGUCAGUUUCUGAGUGCCACUCGGUACUUAAAGUUACGGAGUGUAGGAAGUAUUUUCGGACUAUUUUGAAGGGGAUGUAUAACUUUGAAUCACCAGAAAUAAAUACAACAGAUAUCACGAAAACGAUCCUACGAUCACGUUUUCCCGUUUACUAAUUUAAAAAAAAAAGAAAAACAGUGAGAUUGUUCUUUUCGUGCUCGGCUCGCGAUCUAAAGAAGAAGCAAAAAGUUAGAGGAGGAAAAACGACUGAAAAGAUCGCUGAAAAGAUUUUAAUCUCGAGUAAAAAACAGGGAAAAAUGUAAAUCGACGGAAGCGUGUCUAGAAAUUGAUGGAUGCAAGCAUGUUUAAACGCGUAAAUUACAGAUCAAAGAGUUUGCUGUUUCAUAAUUACAAAGCGACCGGAUUCCGUGCAUAAAAGCGCAAUUAUCUUUAAUGCAUUCGCUCUAUUGCUCGGCCGAAAAUUAUUUGCGCGGUGCAGCAACCGGGCGAGCAAGCGAGCAAAUUAACGAAAGUUCCACCGAAAGGGACGGGCACACAUCCAUUUCCAGCGUUUAUUUCAGAAACGUUUUGCACACUCGCCGAAGGAAGUGUAAUGUAUCUUUAAUGUGUCUGCAUUACGCCGCCGUUUACCGUUACCUAGACGCCUGUGUAAAAGCAUUCUACGAAAUGAAACGUUGAAAAGAUACCUUUACGCAACUGCCGUGCAUAAAUGAACAUCUAUAGAGCACGACACGCCACAACAUAGAGCAAUAUUUUUUUUUUUUAAAUAUGCAAAAUAAAUGUUUUUGGCGACGAUAGAAAAUGGUUAGGAAAAAUUUUAUUUUUUUAUAUGAUUGAUAUGUAAGAUUGAUAUGUGUAUUAUAUGUUUAAGUAAAAGAAUAUUAUCAUUGAAUAUGUUUUUUCGUGUGAUAAAUACGAAAUACGUUCAGAUAUUUAAUGAAAAUGUAUAGAACAUAAUUUGAUUAUUAAAUGAUUAUUUGAUUGUUAAAUGUUUUAUGAUGAAAUUUUAAUGAUAAA
This is a long non-coding RNA of Apis cerana (Asiatic honeybee), 3360 nucleotides long. RefSeq lists it as uncharacterized. The record is from RefSeq and is a predicted model, not a curated record. Lineage: Eukaryota; Metazoa; Arthropoda; Insecta; Hymenoptera; Apidae.